Molecule: long non-coding RNA, 1444 nt
Filed under: Sus scrofa (pig)
Lineage: Eukaryota; Metazoa; Chordata; Mammalia; Artiodactyla; Suidae
Description: lncRNA (ENSSSCG00070009707.1)
Source: RNAcentral
AUGUACAGUGGUGUGAUAAUUUCUGCGGUACAACAAAGUGACUCAGUUAUACGUGUCCACGCAUCCAUUCUUUUUCAGAUUCUUCUCCCACGUAGACGCUCACAGAAUAUCGGGUGGAGUUCUCCGUGCUGCGCCAAGGUUCGUGGAAUGACUGGCCAGCAGGGAUCAGAGAAGGCCAUCCAAAGCAGAGCUCCGGAGGUUCAGCGAUGCUUAGAUGAGAGGGCCGCGGUUCCGUGGUUCUCCGCAUCCAUGUGCCUGAGCGUCUCGCGAGGACAUCUCCGGGAAUCUCCAGCUGCACCAGAAGCCCGCAGAUUGUUCUCUGAAAUGCUGGCACUCGGUCACACCCUUACCAGGAAGGUCACCGCCCCCACUGCAAACACCCUGGGACCCUGGAUCAGAAACCAUCCUAUAGAGAAACAUGGUAUUCCUAGCCUCACCCCGGAGCCUAAGGACACGUCAUCAGAAGUGGUAGGUUUGCAUCUACAGAGAUAUUUAGAGGAGAAGCAUCUCUUAAAACCUCUCUGCAAAAGUCCAGAAGUGGGGUGAAAUAGCUUGCAGAAAACCACACCGCGAUUGAAGUGGUAGAAUUCAGAUUCAAAUCCAGAUCAAGUGCAAAGACGAAGUUGGUGGGCCUUGAAUCACACCAGGCUUCCUAAGGUGAGAUGCUGUGACGGCUGGCUGGGUCAGAGGGUUGAGGAAGCUGUGUGGGGUUCAGGAAAAGCCUCCACAGGAGACCUUCUGAAAGCAACUUGAGAACAUCAAUUCAUCGGUUGAAAUGAUAUACUGCUGAAACUCAUUGUUUUAAAAUAAGGCAUAUAUAGUUCUUUAUUAUAAGGUCAAGCAUUGUUCAAAGUGUCUUGCAAAUACUAGCCCAUUUCUGUGUGUUCAUUAAAACGUUUUCUGAAGCCAGCACCCUGCAAUUAUAGGCUUUACAAACUGCUACUGUAAUUCCAAGAGUGCCAAACCCAGUGGCUGACAAUGAGCCCCCAUCACUGACCAAGGAAAUCUGAGGGGUGCGGAAGCGGGCAGGAGGUGUGGAGGGGAUUCAAAGGAGUGGACAACGGGCUAUCGUUUUUCCUGUUUUCCUACAAAGUUACAGAGGAGGCUGGCAGGAUUAAUCUAUCACCUACUUACCUCUCAUGUCACAGGUUACUGGAUCUCUAAAGACUGUGGUUCUUGCUUGGUUUUUUGGAGCAAAGAGAGACAGCAAUGACGGAGCCUGUGAGAUAAGCACUGUGGACUCCUGCUACAGUUUCUGCCACCUCUGGGGGAGUAGCUCCGGAAGUAGUCGCUGUGACUUGCCCGCCAGCCAGGUGCUCGUCCUACCGCCAGGGCACAGGCAGGCUCAGGCUUCCGGCCCUUCCUGAAGAGGGGCAAGGUAAGUUAUUUAUGAAAAUAAGGGAAGAGGAAUAAAAUAUUCCAAUGAUAAAGAACGAAGAUUUAU